This 652-nucleotide long non-coding RNA is filed under the name Pogona vitticeps (central bearded dragon). RNAcentral's name for it is "lncRNA (ENSPVIG00000005830.1)". The record is from RNAcentral. Lineage: Eukaryota; Metazoa; Chordata; Lepidosauria; Squamata; Agamidae.
UGUUCCCUCAGAAACAGGAAGGCCAAUGGGUCUGUUUUAAAAGGCAAACGUUUUCUUGUACAAUCACCUUGAUAGAAUCUGCGCCCUUGAUAAUCUGCAUGUUUUGGAAGUUGCGUUCUCCCCGUGAUGCUCCAGAAUGCUUUGAACGUUGGUCUCCACAGUCCAAUACCUUUGGCCCUGCCACGGUCUGAAGGGUGUAACUUCAGGAUCAAAUGCUACUUCCUCGAAAGGGCACAGAUCUUGGCAGAAUAUCUGCAUAACAGAUGUUGAAGAUGAUAAUGGACUAUUAGUUACCAAUAUCAACCAGACCUGGGAUUUGAUGAGACUUAAAAAUACAUCCAAGCUGUUUGUUGGGUUAAAAGCCACCGAUAACUGGGUUCAAGUCUAUGGUUUAGAAAGCAAACAUCUCACAUUGGAGGAUCUAACUAAGAAAGGCAAUAUCAUCCUAGAUGCAGGCGAUGGAACUGAACAUAUUGAAUUUACAAAGGAAGCCGUUCGUGAUUUUGAGUCCCAGUUGCAUGCAGCUAUUGAUCAUUUCAAUGAACGGAUUCAAUGGCUCUUACAUGGCAGCAGAAAGGUAAUGUGUACAGUUUAUUCAUUUAUAUGAAUCAUAAAAAAUAAAUACUGAAAAAUAUAUUCUCUUAAACGAAAC